Drosophila navojoa is the source of this 295-nucleotide long non-coding RNA. RefSeq lists it as uncharacterized. Lineage: Eukaryota; Metazoa; Arthropoda; Insecta; Diptera; Drosophilidae. The record is from RefSeq and is a predicted model, not a curated record.
AUAACAAGAACCAUAACAAGAUGAAGGAAAAAACAAAAAAAAAAAAAAGUCAAACAAGAGUAACAAAACAGUAAAAGACAAUACACCCAGCACUUAUAAAAAUUACAAUUAUUACUAGUUACAAUAUAUUGGCAAGAACACAUACACGUUUCCACACAUAUCAAAUACACAUGUCUCAACCCCGAGAACUGGCGACUCGCCUAAAGUAUUGCGUCUUUGCUGAUUUCUCUUUGAUGUGAUGGUACCACAGAUCCGCAAAGGGUUUGUUGGAUUAGUCGCAUUCAAAUGAACAUAA